GAUGAAGAAAGCAGCGAAAUGCGAUAAGUAAUGCGAAUUGCAGAAUUCCGUGAGUCAUCGAAUCUUUGAACGCACAUUGCGCCCCUUGGUACUCCGAGGGGCAUGCCUGUCCGAGCGUCAUUG
RNAcentral lists this ribosomal RNA (123 nucleotides) under Verrucula arnoldaria. RNAcentral describes it as "partial 5.8S ribosomal RNA". It matches the Rfam family "5.8S ribosomal RNA", at positions 35 to 154 of the family's 154-position model. From Rfam's summary of the family: 5.8S ribosomal RNA (5.8S rRNA) is a component of the large subunit of the eukaryotic ribosome. It is transcribed by RNA polymerase I as part of the 45S precursor that also contains 18S and 28S rRNA. Lineage: Eukaryota; Fungi; Ascomycota; Eurotiomycetes; Verrucariales; Verrucariaceae. The record is from RNAcentral.